GGAAUUUUGCGCAAUGGGCGAAAGCCUGACGCAGCAACGCCGCGUGGAGGAAGAAGGCCUCCGGGUCGUGAACUCCUGUCCCCAGGGAAGAGGCCAGUGACAGUACCUGGGGACGCAGCCCCGGCUAACUCCCUGCCAGCAGCCGCGGUAAUACGGGGGGGGCGAGCGUUGUGCGGAAUUACUGGGCGUAAAGGGCGCGUAGGCGGCCCGAGAAGUUCUGGGUGAAAGCCCCCGGCUCAACCGGGGAAGUGCCUGGAAAACCAUCGGGCUGGAGUGCUGGAGAGGCAAGCGGAAUUUCUGGUGUAGCGGUGAAAUGCGUAGAUAUCAGAAGGAACACCUGCGGCGAAGGCGGCUUGCUGGACGGACACUGACGCUGAGGCGCGAAAGCCAGGGGAGCAAACG
This 402-nucleotide ribosomal RNA is filed under the name uncultured bacterium. Its description in RNAcentral is "bacterial SSU rRNA". It matches the Rfam family "Bacterial small subunit ribosomal RNA", at positions 358 to 774 of the family's 1533-position model. The record is from RNAcentral.